Long non-coding RNA from Engraulis encrasicolus (European anchovy), 634 nucleotides. RefSeq lists it as uncharacterized. The transcript has 5 exons. Lineage: Eukaryota; Metazoa; Chordata; Actinopteri; Clupeiformes; Engraulidae. The record is from RefSeq and is a predicted model, not a curated record.
AUAAUGCCAUUUAAGGCAAGUCAGAAAUGCUCCUGCAACCUCCCCGAUAUAUCUGUGUCGCCAGGAAAGGCUGUCAUUUUGAUUUCGAUCAAUGGCAGGUACGAUUUGCAUCUGCCAUUGUUUCAGUGCCACAAAUGCAGCCAGCAGUGGUCUCCCGAGUUUGGGGAUGUGGUGGGAAGUGGGUACUGGCCAGCCUCCACCUGUGCUAAGACAUAUUACACACUGGACCUCUUUAGCUCCUUUGGAGAGCUUAAAGUCAUUGAACCAACACUGUCCAGGCAGGCUUUUACCAAACUUCUGGAGCACAGAACAAGAUGUGCUGGGAGGUCAGGACCUGUGUCUGCUGACAGUCUGCAGAGGAGCUUCCUGGAGUUCUCCAAUUGCCAGUCCGAGCAGGAGCAGCGAAGAGGGGAAACCUCACUUGGAAAAGAAAGCUGUACUGCUUCAAAAGCGUAAGGGAAUGAAGCAACAACGGCUACAGUGGGAGCCAUAUCCAGACUGCAGCGUACACGGACCGCAGCCCUAAACCUCCCAGCAACUCGCCAUGAAAGGAGGCUGCACGAUGCAACGUUUUAGUUGUUUUGUUUUUUGUUUUGUUUUGUUUGUGCUUGAUUGAGGCACUUUUGUUAUUAUU